CAUGCUGUAAACGUUGGGCACUAGGUGUGGGGAUCGUUGUGGUUUCUGCGCCGUAGCUAACGCAUUAAGUGUCCCGCCUGGGGAGUACGGCCGCAAGGCUAAAACUCAAAGGAAUUGACGGGGACCCGCACAAGCGGCGGAGCAUGCGGAUUAAUUCGAUGCAACGCGAAGAACCUUACCAGGGCUUGACAUCCUCGGACGACACUAGAGAUAGUGUUUUCUCUUCGGAGACUGAGAGACAGGUGG
RNAcentral lists this ribosomal RNA (246 nucleotides) under uncultured Actinomycetales bacterium. RNAcentral's name for it is "partial 16S ribosomal RNA". It matches the Rfam family "Bacterial small subunit ribosomal RNA", at positions 796 to 1041 of the family's 1533-position model. Lineage: Bacteria; Bacillati; Actinomycetota; Actinomycetes; Actinomycetales. The record is from RNAcentral.